CUACGGGAUGCACCAGUGAGGAAUAUUGCACAAUGGGGGGAACCCUGAUGCAACAACGCCGCGUGGAGGAUGACGCAUUUCGGUGUGUAAACUCCUUUUAUAUGUCAAGAAAAUGACGGUAGCAUAUGAAUAAGCACCGGCUAACUCCGUGCCAGCAGCCGCGGUAAUACGGAGGGUGCAAGCGUUAGCUCGGAAUCACUGGGCGUAAAGGACGCGUAGGCGGGUUGGAAAGUCAGGUGUGAAAUCCUACAGCUUAACUGUAGAACUGCACUUGAAACUUCUAAUCUAGAGUAUGGGAGGGGGAGAUGGAAUUAGUGGUGUAGGGGUAAAAUCCGUAGAUAUCACUAGGAAUACCUAAAGCGAAGGCGAUCUCCUGGAACAUUACUGACGCUAAGGCGUGAAAGCGUGGGGAGCAAACAGGAUUAGAUACCCGGGUAGUC
This 440-nucleotide ribosomal RNA is filed under the name uncultured bacterium. Its description in RNAcentral is "partial 16S ribosomal RNA". It matches the Rfam family "Bacterial small subunit ribosomal RNA", at positions 339 to 795 of the family's 1533-position model. The record is from RNAcentral.